AUAUUAUUGCAUGAUAUAAAUUAGACAUGUCAUCUAGUAGCAUCUGCUUCCAUCUGGCCUCACUCUUGUGAGUCUCACUCUUGUGGCCUCACUCUUGUGAGUCUGACCAGAAGGCUUCUCUGUGAUCUACCUGAAGACUACUUGAAACUUACUGUUGCCUUUACUGAUACUUCUGCUAGAUGAAGGCCUGCCUAUAGUGCUUCCUGGAAGGAGAAAUGAGAGGGGGUGCGAAGCUUUUUCAGCAAGCACACAGAAGCAGAUUCUGGGAGAACACACAACAAAAUUCUGAGGCUGAGAGGAAAGCAUGAAGAAAAUCAGGAAGAGGAAAAAGAAUCUCUCUUCCUCCAGCAGACGAGUUUAAUGAAAGCCAUUCGUUCUAAGAAAAUCUCCCAGCCUGCGUACACUUGGAGGG
Non-coding RNA from Peromyscus maniculatus bairdii (prairie deer mouse), 412 nucleotides. The record is from RefSeq and is a predicted model, not a curated record. Lineage: Eukaryota; Metazoa; Chordata; Mammalia; Rodentia; Cricetidae.